CCUACGGGAGGCAGCAGUGAGGAAUAUUGGUCAAUGGGCGUAAGCCUGAACCAGCCAAGUCGCGUGAGGGAUGAAGGUUCUAUGGAUCGUAAACCUCUUUUAUAAGGGAAUAAAGUGUGGGACGUGUCCUGUUUUGUAUGUACCUUAUGAAUAAGGAUCGGCUAACUCCGCGCCAGCAGCCGAGGUAAUACGGAGGAUCCGAGCGUGAUCCGGAUUUAUUGGGUUUAAAGGGUGUGUAGGCGGCCUUUUAAGUCAGCGGUGAAAGUCUGUGGCUCAACCAGAGAAUUGCCGUUGAAACUGGGAGGCUUGAGUAUGUUUGAGGCAGGCGGAAUGCGUGGUGUAGCGGUGAAAUGCUUAGAGAUCACGCAGAACCCCGAUUGCGAAGGCAGCCUGCCAAGCCAUGACUGACGCUGAUGCGCGAAAGCGUGGGGAUCAAACAGGAUUAGAUACCCUUGUAGUC
RNAcentral lists this ribosomal RNA (460 nucleotides) under uncultured bacterium. RNAcentral's name for it is "partial 16S ribosomal RNA". It matches the Rfam family "Bacterial small subunit ribosomal RNA", at positions 338 to 795 of the family's 1533-position model. The record is from RNAcentral.